AAACCCAACAAAACGGAGGAAAACGGGAUAAACAUAAAGGCCAAGGUUCCAAUAAUGAGUAUCAAGAAAAUACCAUGAACCUAGGUUCUUGGACUGAUUACCAGUAUAUCUAUCAUCAGACCAUGAAAUCAUAAUAGCUUCACGUUAGAAUUCAAGGGAUGAACGAGAAAACCCAAGUUCUUCCAAAAAUACGGGAAUCG
Molecule: long non-coding RNA, 200 nt
Filed under: Olea europaea (common olive)
Lineage: Eukaryota; Viridiplantae; Streptophyta; Magnoliopsida; Lamiales; Oleaceae
Description: long non-coding RNA (OEUR_LNC003966)
Source: RNAcentral